GCAGGAAAUGAUCCGGAUGAAUUCAGUGCAGUUCUAAAGCAGCACAUAACCCCGAAAAUAUUGAUUACGACAUGCCGCUUCAAUUCAGGGAGGGGACCUGCAUUUAUUGAUGAGUUAAUGCAAGUGAUACCGAAUUCUCAGUAUGU
Zea mays is the source of this 146-nucleotide long non-coding RNA. RefSeq lists it as uncharacterized. NCBI's taxonomy places the organism in Eukaryota, Viridiplantae, Streptophyta, Magnoliopsida, Poales, Poaceae. The transcript is spliced from 2 exons. The record is from RefSeq and is a predicted model, not a curated record.